RNAcentral lists this ribosomal RNA (500 nucleotides) under uncultured Desulfobulbus sp. Its description in RNAcentral is "bacterial SSU rRNA". It matches the Rfam family "Bacterial small subunit ribosomal RNA", at positions 887 to 1382 of the family's 1533-position model. The record is from RNAcentral. Lineage: Bacteria; Pseudomonadati; Thermodesulfobacteriota; Desulfobulbia; Desulfobulbales; Desulfobulbaceae.
GCCCGCUCAGAAACUCAAAGGAAUUGACGGGGCCCGCACAAGCGGUGGAGUAUGUGGUUUAAUUCGAUGCAACGCGAAGAACCUUACCUGGUCUUGACAUCCCGGAGACCCUUAGGAAACUAGGGGGUGCUUCCAUCUGGAAGAAUCUGGAGACAGGUGCUGCAUGGCUGUCGUCAGCUCGUGUCGUGAGAUGUUGGGUUAAGUCCCGCAACGAGCGCAACCCUUGCCUUUAGUUGCCAGCAGUUCGGCUGGGCACUCUAAAGGGACUGCCGGUGUUAAACCGGAGGAAGGUGGGGAUGACGUCAAGUCCUCAUGGCCUUUAUGACCAGGGCUACACACGUACUACAAUGGCCGAUACAAAGGGCAGCGACACUGCGAGGUGAAGCCAAUCCCGUAAAAUCGGUCUCAGUCCGGAUUGGAGUCUGCAACUCGACUCCAUGAAGUUGGAAUCGCUAGUAAUCGUGGAUCAGCAUGCCACGGUGAAUACGUUCCCGGGCCUU